CAAGACCGGCUCCGCUGAGGCUCCGCCGGCCGCCAGGUAUCCGCUCAGCGCAGGGCGCGGCGGACCUGCGGGCCGUGGGAACCGCUGGGCAGUGGCAGCGAGGCCCCUCACCUGUCUCUGGGGCCCCCCGGGGACGACCGGACCCCGAUCUCUGCGCCCCGCAGGACGCGCGUUGACGGUCGCCCGUGUGCAGCGCCACCAUCCCGGCCGCUCUUCCAAUCUCGCCUUUCUCCGG
Molecule: long non-coding RNA, 235 nt
Filed under: Homo sapiens (human)
Lineage: Eukaryota; Metazoa; Chordata; Mammalia; Primates; Hominidae
Description: HSALNT0083048
Source: RNAcentral